UACGGAGGGAGCUAGCGUUAUUCGGAAUUACUGGGCGUAAAGCGCACGUAGGCGGCUUUGUAAGUUAGAGGUGAAAGCCUGGAGCUCAACUCCAGAAUUGCCUUUAAGACUGCAUCGCUUGAAUCCAGGAGAGGUGAGUGGAAUUCCGAGUGUAGAGGUGAAAUUCGUAGAUAUUCGGAAGAACACCAGUGGCGAAGGCGACUUACUGGACACAUAUUGACGCUGAGGUGCGAAAGCGUGGGGAGCAAACAGG
This 253-nucleotide ribosomal RNA is filed under the name uncultured bacterium. RNAcentral describes it as "partial 16S ribosomal RNA". It matches the Rfam family "Bacterial small subunit ribosomal RNA", at positions 524 to 776 of the family's 1533-position model. The record is from RNAcentral.